Molecule: signal recognition particle RNA, 148 nt
Filed under: Pongo abelii (Sumatran orangutan)
Lineage: Eukaryota; Metazoa; Chordata; Mammalia; Primates; Hominidae
Description: Metazoan signal recognition particle RNA (ENSPPYG00000039238.1)
Rfam family: Metazoan signal recognition particle RNA
About the family: The signal recognition particle (SRP) is a universally conserved ribonucleoprotein. It is involved in the co-translational targeting of proteins to membranes.
Source: Rfam by way of RNAcentral
GCCAGGCGCGGUGGUGUGUGCCUGUAGUCCCAGCUACUCGGGAGGCUGAGGCAGGAGAAUCACUGGAGCCCAGGAGUUCAAGGCUGCAGUGAACUGUGAUCGCACCACUGCACUCCAGCCUGGGUGACACAGUGAGUACCUGUCUCUA